RNAcentral lists this ribosomal RNA (204 nucleotides) under uncultured prokaryote. RNAcentral's name for it is "partial 16S ribosomal RNA". It matches the Rfam family "Bacterial small subunit ribosomal RNA", at positions 524 to 727 of the family's 1533-position model. The record is from RNAcentral.
UACAGGGGGUGCAAGCGUUGUUCGGAAUUACUGGGCGUAAAGCGCGGGCAGGUGGCCUUUUAAGUCCUUUGUGAAAUCCUGGAGCUCAACUCCGGAUGUGCAUAGGAUACUGGAAGGCUCGAGACUGGUAGAGGCGAGCGGAAUUCCUGGUGUAGCGGUGGAAUGCGUAGAUAUCAGGAAGAACACCGGUGGCGAAGGCGGCUC